RNAcentral lists this ribosomal RNA (499 nucleotides) under uncultured bacterium. RNAcentral's name for it is "bacterial SSU rRNA". It matches the Rfam family "Bacterial small subunit ribosomal RNA", at positions 28 to 573 of the family's 1533-position model. The record is from RNAcentral.
AACGAACGCUGGCGGCAUGCCUAACACAUGCAAGUCGAACGAGACCUUCGGGUCUAGUGGCGCACGGGUGCGUAACGCGUGGGAAUCUGCCCUCAGGUACGGAAUAACUCAGGGAAACUUGAGCUAAUACCGUAUAAUGACUUCGGUCCAAAGAUUUAUCGCCUGGGGAUGAGCCCGCGUCGGAUUAGCUAGUUGGUGAGGUAAAGGCUCACCAAGGCGACGAUCCGUAGCUGGUCUGAGAGGAUGAUCAGCCACACUGGGACUGAGACACGGCCCAGACUCCUACGGGAGGCAGCAGUGGGGAAUAUUGGACAAUGGGCGAGAGCCUGAUCCAGCAAUGCCGCGUGAGUGAUGAAGGCCUUAGGGUUGUAAAGCUCUUUUACCCGGGAUGAUAAUGACAGUACCGGGAGAAUAAGCCCCGGCUAACUCCGUGCCAGCAGCCGCGGUAAUACGGAGGGGGCUAGCGUUGUUCGGAAUUACUGGGCGUAAAGCGCACGGU